RNAcentral lists this ribosomal RNA (611 nucleotides) under Penicillium decaturense. Its description in RNAcentral is "eukaryotic LSU rRNA". It matches the Rfam family "Eukaryotic large subunit ribosomal RNA", at positions 1 to 626 of the family's 3401-position model. The record is from RNAcentral. Lineage: Eukaryota; Fungi; Ascomycota; Eurotiomycetes; Eurotiales; Aspergillaceae.
UUGACCUCGGAUCAGGUAGGGAUACCCGCUGAACUUAAGCAUAUCAAUAAGCGGAGGAAAAGAAACCAACCGGGAUUGCCCUAGUAACGGCGAGUGAAGCGGCAAGAGCUCAAAUUUGAAAGCUGGCUCCUUCGGGGUCCGCAUUGUAAUUUGCAGAGGAUGCUUCGGGAGCGGUCCCCAUCUAAGUGCCCUGGAACGGGCCGUCAUAGAGGGUGAGAAUCCCGUAUGGGAUGGGGUGCCCGCGCCCGUGUGAAGCUCCUUCGACGAGUCGAGUUGUUUGGGAAUGCAGCUCUAAUUGGGUGGUAAAUUUCAUCUAAAGCUAAAUAUUGGCCGGAGACCGAUAGCGCACAAGUAGAGUGAUCGAAAGAUGAAAAGCACUUUGAAAAGAGAGUUAAACAGCACGUGAAAUUGUUGAAAGGGAAGCGCUUGCGAUCAGACUCGCUCGCGGGGUUCAGCCGGCCUUCGGGCCGGUGUACUUCCCCGCGGGCGGGCCAGCGUCGGUUUGGGCGGCCGGUCAAAGGCCCCUGGAAUGUAACGCCUCUCGGGGCGUCUUAUAGCCAGGGGUGCCAUGCGGCCUGCCCGGACCGAGGAACGCGCUUCGGCUCGGACGC